Long non-coding RNA from Micropterus dolomieu (smallmouth bass), 645 nucleotides. RefSeq lists it as uncharacterized. The transcript has 5 exons. Lineage: Eukaryota; Metazoa; Chordata; Actinopteri; Centrarchiformes; Centrarchidae. The record is from RefSeq and is a predicted model, not a curated record.
CCUCUCAGUGAAGCUCCACCCCCCUGUCUCUCUAGAAGCAGGCACACACCUGUGCCUCUUUAAGAGUAGAUUUAUAGAGAGCACUCAGGAUCUCUCUGUAGGCAUUGUGGUCCAGUGUGGCUAGAGAGCAGGUAUGUCUUGUAGAAGUUACGAGUCAAGGCUGACAAUGUUGUUAACUUCUGAGCCACCUGUCGUCCAGACCUCGUCAGCUGAAUAGCCUGUUGCGCUAAAGUUCACCACAGACAAGGCAGUGGUUGUUAACCCUGAGGUGGAGUCAGAGCUGGGUUGACUACUUACUGCAUUGUUUAAGGUGGCUGCGCACCAGUGUGAGUGGUGGUGUCAAGACACCUGGGUGGCCUACAAGUCUGGCUCCUGUAGAUGCUGAGUUGAAACCCGUGUCUCUGAAUUUUAUUAACUGUGGGAAACCCAUGGCAACUGGUGAUCCUGCAGGUUUGACCUUUUCAAGUCACUCAUUAAGACUGCAAUUUAGUCUUAAAACCUGUCGCACUACCAGACAACCUCUGGAUUAAUAACAGUCGGAGUUCCCCUCUACUUGUCAGAACUGGAAAUCUGCCGAAAAUCAUCCUCAAAAUAUACGUGUGUCCCCAGACUGAUUAAACAGAAAUGGCCUUCCCUUUUAUCCUU